RNAcentral lists this long non-coding RNA (955 nucleotides) under Capra hircus (goat). RNAcentral describes it as "lncRNA (ENSCHIG00010007527.1)". Lineage: Eukaryota; Metazoa; Chordata; Mammalia; Artiodactyla; Bovidae. The record is from RNAcentral.
AUGUCUCCUGCGGCGGGCCUCGGCCAGCGGAGAAAGCUGCGACCCAGCCGCUGGGCCACCCCCUGCCCUCAAACGCGAGGCAUGAACGGACCGCCCGCGCCGCGGCGACGCCGAGAGCACCAGUCACCGGCGGGGUCCGGAGCGGCGCGGACGGAAGGAAAGAAAACCAUGUGGAUAGCUGAGAUCUUCUGUGAAGAAAGGAAAAGACAAAAGGCCGUAGAUCCAAAACUUAUAGAAAAUCAACGUUUAGAAUUUCAACUGUGGAGGAAGGACCAAAAAAAUGCAAGAAGCAGGAAAAAAUGUGCCCCUCAGUUGCUUGGCACGGAGCCAGAUUCGCUAGGACUUUCCGAGCACACCACUGUCAGGAAGCCACGGAAGCCGUGCGCAUCGCCGCCCGAGCAGCCCAGGGCGCUCUGCGGGCUCCGGCACUCUGUCCAGUGCUCUCGACUUGCGCUUCACUUCACGCUGAAAACCCAGCGCUUUGUGUUCAGUUUAAGGUCUUCCCAACGUGUGAGGUUAAGAAGACAUCUUUACCUGUUUAAAUCAGGGAAGCAAUGGACAUGAUUAAAUAGAAAUCAUACUUUACGUAGUAUUAAAGGUGACAUCCAUCUAUGUAAAUUUAGUGUAAUGGAAGACUUAGUUUAUAACUAAGAAUGUAAUAUUCUUAAUCCAAAAAUAAAAACCUGCUUUGCUUGACAAAGGUUACUGAAUUGAUGUUUUGUAGUGUGUUUAGGUGCCAAAAAAGCCAUUUUGGUUUCAGCAAAGAAUAGUCAUUUUCCAAUUCACAUCAUAUAAUUCCAGUGUUGUAGGUCAAAACACAUCCUUCUUCCCUUGAAAAACAAAGACAAGGGACCCUGUAUGGUUUGCUCUUAUGUUGUUGUUUUAUUUUGUUUUGAUACGUCCCAAGAUUUCUGCUUUAUUGGCUAUGCCAAAGCCUUUGACUGUGUGGAUCACA